Long non-coding RNA from Seriola dumerili (greater amberjack), 179 nucleotides. RefSeq lists it as uncharacterized. The transcript is spliced from 3 exons. Lineage: Eukaryota; Metazoa; Chordata; Actinopteri; Carangiformes; Carangidae. The record is from RefSeq and is a predicted model, not a curated record.
CACAGGCCUGGAGGCUCAGCAGCUCACUGUGCAGGAUGGCAACAGAGCAUCAGUCUUCCAGUUUACUGUUUCCAAAGAAAUGGACUGCUGCCAGGUCGGAGGUCAGUCCUUCCUGGUCUCUGUCGGCAAGAUGAGUCUUCUGCUGCAGUUCAAAAGUCCAACUGAUAUGAAGAACUUCC